GAUGAACGCUAGCGGCAGGCCUAACACAUGCAAGUCGAGGGGCAGCACGGUGUAGCAAUACAUUGGUGGCGACCGGCGCACGGGUGCGUAACGCGUAUACAAUUUGCCUUAUACUGGGAGAUAGCCCGGAGAAAUUCGGAUUAAUAUCCCAUAAUAUUUUUUCACCGCAUGGUGAGAAUCUUAAAGCUACGGCGGUAUAAGAUGAGUAUGCGUCUGAUUAGCUAGUUGGUGAGGUAAUGGCUCACCAAGGCGACGAUCAGUAGGGGGCCUGAGAGGGUUAUCCCCCACACUGGAACUGAGACACGGUCCAGACUCCUACGGGAGGCAGCAGUGAGGAAUAUUGGUCAAUGGAGGCAACUCUGAACCAGCCAUGCCGCGUGUAGGACGAAUGCCCUNUGGGUUNUAAACUACUUUUAGUGGGGAANAACCCUCUUACGUGUAAGAGGCUGACGGUACCAAGGAAUAAGGACCGCUAACUCCGUGCCAGCA
Molecule: ribosomal RNA, 489 nt
Filed under: uncultured bacterium
Lineage: Bacteria
Description: bacterial SSU rRNA
Rfam family: Bacterial small subunit ribosomal RNA
Source: RNAcentral